This 697-nucleotide long non-coding RNA is filed under the name Pan troglodytes (chimpanzee). Its description in RNAcentral is "long non-coding RNA NONPTRT002057". The record is from RNAcentral. Lineage: Eukaryota; Metazoa; Chordata; Mammalia; Primates; Hominidae.
AGGGAGCCGGCCGCGCGGGAUCCCAAGCUAACGCCAGGGCACUUGAUCUGGCAUAAAGAACUGGGGACGUUUGUAGGAACAAAGUCCGUCCCCAUUCCUCAUGGGACUCGCCUCCUGCAGGCCGUGUGAUGAGGAAAUGGUGGAGAGGACAAGUUCUGUACUCUCGGAACCAGUGGACCUGCAGUUUGAGGAGUUACAGUGUGGGAAAACGGACUUUCUAAACAGCUGAAUGAUGAUGUCAGGGACUAGGACCUUAGGAAUAAAUAGCCUGGCUGAUGAAGAAUUGAGGCACAGAAGCCAUGUGGACCCUUCCCACAGUCGCAGAGAGCUGAAGCUACUCGUUCGGUAUCAAAGUGGUGCAGUUUUCAGCAGCAAAUAGUUAUUCUGUGCGUGCACGCAUGCACACAUGCCCAAGUGGCAACUGGGGUUUCGGUCACUGAAAGAGCUCCAGGUCAUGUUUUUCAGUCAGCCGGAGACAGAGGUGUGUCUAUGGGCUGGACCUUGGCUAUCACCUGAUGGGAAUGGGAUGGUGGCCAGUAGACUCGAUUUCUCCCCUUGUAUCCUGACUGCUCUUUGGCUCUACUGGGGUGGCUGACUGUCACAUUUUCCCUGAAUAUGGAGUCAAAGCAAGCAACACUUUAUAGAGUGCUAACUUUCAUAUCAACUCAGGAAACGGAAGAGGUGAUAUCACAAUUGC